Molecule: unclassified non-coding RNA, 2057 nt
Filed under: Hevea brasiliensis (rubber tree)
Lineage: Eukaryota; Viridiplantae; Streptophyta; Magnoliopsida; Malpighiales; Euphorbiaceae
Source: RNAcentral
GGGGGAUCGAACGAACUCAACCAACAAAGCAAAUCUUCUAAAUUUUUCAGUCUUUCCAAUUUCCAAGUACUUCUCUUCUAUAAACAAGACACUUCAUUUUCUACAUUUGUCAACAGUCUUCUAAUUUCUUUUCAAGAUAAACUCACUCAUCAUGGCUCCUGAUCUCACCACCGCCACCAAGACUACCUCUCUCGUUAAGCAAGCUAGCAUAUCUAGCUGUGCUUAUGUGACGUUCUUGGCUGGUAAUGGAGACUAUGUGAAAGGUGUUGUCGGCUUAGCCAAGGGCUUGAGGAAAGUUAAUAGCAAAUACCCACUAGUGGUAGCUAUCUUGCCUGAUGUCCCAGAGGAGCACCGCAAGAUUCUGAUCUCUCAGGGGUGCAUAGUCAGGGAAAUUGAACCUUUGCACCCACCUGAGAACCAGACCCAAUUUGCCAUGGCUUAUUAUGUCAUUAACUACUCCAAGCUUCGUAUAUGGGAGUUCGUGGAGUAUAGCAAGAUGAUAUAUUUGGAUGGUGACAUCCAAGUAUUUGAUAAUAUAGACCACCUCUUCGACUUGCAAGAUGGAUACUUUUAUGGUGUGAUGGACUGUUUCUGUGAGCAGACAUGGAGCCACUCACCACAGCACAAGAUUGGCUACUGCCAGCAGUGCCCUGAUAGGGUUCAGUGGCCUGCUGAGUUAGGCCCUAAACCUCCCCUUUACUUCAAUGCUGGCAUGUUUGUUUUUGAGCCCAAUUUGUCCACAUAUGAUGACCUCUUGAGGACGGUCAAAGUUACCCCUCCUACCCUCUUUGCUGAGCAGGAUUUCUUGAACAUGUUCUUCAAGGACGUUUACAGGCCAAUUCCUCCAAUUUAUAACCUUGUAUUAGCUUUACUCUGGCGCCAUCCUGAGAACAUUGAACUUGACAAAGUCAAGGUUGCUCACUACUGUGCUGCUGGCUCCAAGCCAUGGAGGUACACUGGGAAAGAAGAGAACAUGGACAGGGAAGACAUCAAGAUGCUGGUCAAUAAAUGGUGGGAUAUUUACGAUGACGAGUCUUUGGACUACAAGAGCACUGUGGCUGCUGCUGGUGGAACUGAAGGUGGUCUGCAACCAUUCUUGGCUGCGCUGUCGGAGGCUGGUGUUGCUCACUACAUUAACGCCCCAUCUGCUGCCUAGGCCUAAGGCUAUUGGUAGUAGAGACAAUUUGUAUAUUGAAAAGAAACGCUUUAUUUAUUAUUAGAGAUCAAUCAAAGCUCACAAACAAUCUUCUGUAAGGCAUUAACCAUCCCACCUUUAAUGGUCUGUGGUCUGGGAAGGUCAAAGAUAAUGGCAAAUCAAAUUAAUCACACUUCCAGAUAUCUCUGAUCAUAGGAACCUCUUGCGAGUUUGGUUAAAGAUCUCCCAUAUGCAGCGUUGUUUUCUUCUCAAAGGCAACAGCAGGUUCCUUUUUCCUUCUAUUUUCAUUGUAUAAAAUAUAAUUUUUUCAAUACCUAUAACAAAUUAAAUUUGAAUUCUUGGACAAGUUCAAUAGCUUACUUCGAUUACAUAUAAUUUAAUCAAAUAAAAAAAAUCUGUUCAAAAUAAGAAAAAAAUAUUCCCAAUCUUGGAGAUACUAAUCUCUCCUAUUCAAAUUUUUGCCUGUUUUUGUUCAAAUUAAUGUGCGAAAGAGAAUACCCCAUGAAAUUACAACUCCCAACUCAGAUAGUAAGCAGCUACUAUGUAGUAAUAUAGUAAACAGAAUGUUAUUUACAGUAUAAUUUAAGGCAAAUUAAGAAAUACCCAUGAGUGAAUAUCGUGAAUUUUGACUUGCUUUUAUCACGACUCCAUCUAUUGCUUUGAGUAUGGCUCUCUCUAUAGUAACUGAGACUGUGCCUUCUGUUUUCUAUUUACCCAACCAAUCCCCCUCUGCUCGUGUUCUUGAUUUUGAAAAGAAAAAUGGGAUUUGGUCAUUGGUGUUAUUCUGUUUCUGUUCCUCUGCUGGUAAUCUUCGUCUUGAUCAACCCCAAUAUUGUUGACAAAGAAACCCAAGAAUUGAUCUAUAAAGUCCGUGGCCAAAUGGAAGAAUAUGGCUUUUGUA